AGCUCCAAUAGCGUAUAUUAAAGUUGUUGCAGUUAAAAAGCUCGUAGUUGAAUUUCUGGGAGUCGCGCCGGUGGCUUUGUCGCAGGCCGCGGCUUCCAUCCGCCUGAGCACCGCGUUCGUCCUUGACUGGUCGGCGCGGGAAUCAGGCUUUUUACUGUGAAAAAAUCAGAGUGUUCAAGGCAGGCAAGCGCCCUGAAUACACAAGCAUGGAAUAAUGGAAUAGGACUAGUGUCUAUUUUGUUGGUUAUUGGACAUUAGUAAUGAUUAAUAGGGACAGUUGGGGGCAUUAGUAUUUAAUAGUCAGAGGUGAAAUUCUUGGAUUUAUUAAAGGCUAACUUAUGCGAAAGCAUUUGCCAAGGAUGUUUUCA
Molecule: ribosomal RNA, 368 nt
Filed under: uncultured eukaryote
Lineage: Eukaryota
Description: SSU rRNA
Rfam family: Eukaryotic small subunit ribosomal RNA
Source: RNAcentral